Molecule: ribosomal RNA, 496 nt
Filed under: Neisseria bacilliformis
Lineage: Bacteria; Pseudomonadati; Pseudomonadota; Betaproteobacteria; Neisseriales; Neisseriaceae
Description: bacterial SSU rRNA
Rfam family: Bacterial small subunit ribosomal RNA
Source: RNAcentral
GCAGUCGGACGGCAGCACAGAGAAGCUUGCUUCUUGGGUGGCGAGUGGCGAACGGGUGAGUAACGCAUCGGAACGUACCGAGUAAUGGGGGAUAACUGUCCGAAAGGACAGCUAAUACCGCAUACGCCCUGAGGGGGAAAGCGGGGGAUCUUAGGACCUCGCGUUAUUCGAGCGGCCGAUGUCUGAUUAGCUGGUUGGCGGGGUAAAGGCCCACCAAGGCGACGAUCAGUAGCGGGUCUGAGAGGAUGAUCCGCCACACUGGGACUGAGACACGGCCCAGACUCCUACGGGAGGCAGCAGUGGGGAAUUUUGGACAAUGGGCGCAAGCCUGAUCCAGCCAUGCCGCGUGUCUGAAGAAGGCCUUCGGGUUGUAAAGGACUUUUGUCAGGGAAGAAAAGGGGCAUGUUAAUACCGUGCUCUGAUGACGGUACCUGAAGAAUAAGCACCGGCUAACUACGUGCCAGCAGCCGNGGUAAUACGUAGGGUGCAAGCCGUU